This 4743-nucleotide long non-coding RNA is filed under the name Homo sapiens (human). Its description in RNAcentral is "HSALNT0240637". The record is from RNAcentral. Lineage: Eukaryota; Metazoa; Chordata; Mammalia; Primates; Hominidae.
GCUGGGAUUACAGGCGUGAGCCACCGCGCCCAGCCAGCUUUAAUGUUUUUAAAAAGCCCCUUUUAAAUUUCCAGUUAAACUUUCAAAUACUUUGCUUAAUUCUCUAAGAGAAAUGGAUACAUCAGGAAGAUGUACCAUAUUCUGUCCUGGGCUUCCCAUCUCCAGCCCGAGUGGAGAUGCCACCUGCUUUAAGAACCAAAGGUCUAAAGGUACCAAAGGAGGUCUCUGUGGUUGUGUAAUUAAAUCCAAGGACCUGGGCACCAGGAAAGAAAAUGCUGAGCACGGCAUGAGCAAGGGGGUUUUGCAAGGCAAGCUGGAGUCAUUUGGGGUUGCUUUGGGAGGUGAAGGAAGGCACUAGAAGAUCUGAGGAAGAGGUAGCCAAAGUUCUGAAUAUAUAAAAGUUGCAGCACCCCCAUCUCCACUGUGGCUUUGGCUGCCAGCCAGAGCUGCCGUUUUAUUGACAAUUUAUUGGAGUGCUUCUCCCAUUGAGCUUUCAUGAUGGUAUUCAUGUUGCACUCUGCUUGAGUCUCAGAUAAAAGGUCCUUCAUCUACACUCCCCAAGACCAUUAUCACUGCUUAUUAUAAUGCCAUUCAGAUGAAAAGCCCCACAGCACUACAAAGAAGAUCUAGACUUAUAAUAAAAUCAAUACUUUCGUUUCCUUACAAGACAAUUAAAGGGGGAGAAAUAGGCGGGUCUACAGACUGUUACUCCUGAGACUCUCCAGAGGAAGGACGCAAGGCUAGGUGGCAGCUGUCUGUGGGGAGCUUCUGUCUCAUUUCAUCUGGGCUUGGGAUGAAUGGAAAGGCUCGUGCAUCUGAUUGAUGAGCACUAGCUUGUAGAUGACAGCAUAGGCCUUCUGCUUCCUAACUCUUGUCAGCCUGCUCCAAGCACUGGCUUUCCAGCAAGCAGCUAUUUCCUCAGCCCUUUCUUCUUCCCCAGUCAGGCAGGCUUUAACCUAAGCCCAAACUAAAUGCCAGCAGUAUUCUCCAAGCUCUUGAUUCCUAUCUACUGAUUGGCUGGCAUAGCCUCAUGGAGACUGUAGUCAAAGAAGAGUGUUUAGGCUCUAAGUAUGAGAAGAUUCAAGGAUUGUAUUGACAAGAGAGCAAACAUAGAAUUUUUGUACAAUGCAGAGAGAUCAGAGAAAUGGAAAGAGACGGAGACCAGGAGAGACAACAAGAAAAAGAAGAGACAAGGAAAAAAGUUGGGAGGAAUCCUCAGCAUCAUGCAGCAAAUCAGACAAAGUUAGCCCAGCUUCCGAGGGGCUAACCUGGAAAAUGCAAAGCUGAGAAGAAGCCAAGACAAAAUAAGCCAAUAGACUGAGGAGUGGCCCACCGUGCUGAGUGUCCUGCAAGGCGUAAAUGGAGUUGACUCAUAAAAGAUCUAUGGACACAGGACUACAGCUUCUGAGGCCUCUGAAAGAAGUGACAUUGUUCCAAGCUGUCCAGACCGAAGCAUCACCUCUGUGAUCAAGCUUGAGAUUGUUUGUGGCUGAGAAAUAUACUGCCAUCUACACACAGGCAGUGUAAAGUCUAAAAGGAGCGACACUGCCUGUUCCUGAAGGAAUAAGAAGUGGGAAGAGAAGAAAGGAGAAAUGAAGCAGGGAGAGUCAGUCCUGCACUGGCUGCAGGUCAUGGCCAGUCAGCAGCCACACAGAAGAUGUAGGAGAGAACAAGAAACCCCUGUUAUCUUCUGGUUACUCCUAGAUAUUCCUUUUUCUACCUGCUGGUUGCCCUGCAGAAUGUGAAAUGGCACAAGAAUUCAAGAUGGGGACCACAGACAGACUAGCUGUAAUUUCCCUGUGCUCCUCUGAAGAUAAACCGCUGCCUGCACCAGCCUAGCAGCUUCCAGAAGCUGUGGAUGAGAAGCAAUCUCCCACCAAAAGCCAGAGCUCACCUGCAAAGCUUCAAUCCCAAGCAGAAGGAAGCCUCCGUUUUUUCCCCCCAGAUGAGCCUGAAUUCACCUCCAGAAAGUCUCAAUGCAUCACACCAAGGGUCACACACCUGCUCAUGGUUCUUCUUGAGGCAAAGCAGCUCCUCCUUCAGGGACUCCAGCUGGGCCUCCAGGUCACACUUGGCGAGGGUGAGGUUGUCUAGCACCCUGCGCAGGCCACAGAUGUCAGCCUCCACCAGCUGUUGCAGCGAGCGCUCUCUCUCGUACCUGUAACAGGGAAAGUGCAGGAGUGACAGUUAGAGGGCAGGAAGGGGCACCAGGACAUGACUCCCAGCUCGCAGCUGUAAGUCCACUGGCCUGCCCUUUGCCAUCUAAUUGUGAGUUGGCUUAUCCUGUGUAGUGUGCUCAAAGCCCAGAAAGCAACAGGAUGUUCCCCACUCAGUCAAUACUAAGCACCUGAGAUGAACCAAGGGGAGCAGCUGGUACUGAGGAUACUGUGAUGGACACACAGCCAGCACCUGCCUUUACACACAAUGGCCCAAAAGGGAGGUGGCAAAGUAACCAGGCAUUUGCAACACAGUGCAAUCACUGCAGGCCCCUCUCUACAAGCCCCAUACCCAAAGGGACCCUGGAUUCCCUAUUAGAGUAAAAGCCACAUUGCCAGCAUGAGAGGAAGGAAAUGGCUUUCUUUAGCUCUAGAAGAGUGAGACUUGCACAGUGCCCCGAAGAAAGAUGAUAAAACACAAUGCCCUUCCAGCACCCAGGGUAGACCCUCCUCAGGUGGUGUCAACCCUUUGACUUUCACAUGUUUUCAUCUUAGGCUAUGGAGCAUGAUUUCUGCUAUGAAUUAUCAGCACUCACAAAUUAAUCAAGCUGCAGCACAGAAACAUAUCCUUAUUAAGGCAACAGUUUCACAGGAAAUUGCUUCAAGAAAGGAAAAUUUGGUACAAAAUUUAAGGCCAAGUCCCAGCUCUGCCACUCGGUACCCACAUGGCUUCUGGCAAGUCACACCAGCACCCCAAGCCUCAGGGUCCCCACCUGUGGAGGAGAUUCUAUCCCUGCCCGCCUGCUUCACAAGUUGCUUACCAGGUGGAUGAUGCAUUCUAGCACAUGUUGUAAACUGUUAAUGCUAAACCACUGGAGAGCGGAUAGUUUUUCAGGAUCUUGAGCUUAAUGCCCUUUGUUCUCUUCUGCUAUAACUACUGGGUUGGGGUCUGGGUCAAUGACAUCCGAUGCCACAUGAGACAGAAGCAGCCAACUUGGCAUUGUCCCAUCCCCAUCCAACCCCAACUCUCACUUGGCUCCUUCCCAUCCCUGUCCAACCCCAACUCACUUGGUCCUGAAGUCAUCUGCAGCCAAUUUGGCAUUGUCUAUUUGCACAACCAGCCUAUUGUUCUCCGAUUUGGUGCACAGAAUCUGGGGUAAGAAAGUAGGCUCAGUAAGUGACUUACUGAUCCCAGAGACACCUAUAGCCUCAGGUGAGAGGAAGUUUUAUUGGCUGAAGUUGAACCUACAGCAUCCGCCUGGACAACACAAACUCCCAAACGUGCAAGAGAUGCUUUUGUGGUGUGGGAAGGAAGAUGUGCAAGAGACUUCUUGGAAAAGGAUGAAGACAUAGAGUCAAAGGAACCAGGAGAUGGAAGACAGUAGCAAACUGAACAUAUAACAAAGACUUGCUUUCAUUUUGCCAGAUAUGAUGCUUAGCCCAAUAUAAAUAAGAAGAUCUGGCCGGACGCAGUGGCUCAUGCCUGUAAUCCCCGCACUUUGGGAGACCAAGGCAGAUGGAUCACCUGAGGUCAGGAGUUCAAGACCAGCCUGGGCAACAUGGUGAAACACCAUCUCUACUAAAAAUAUAAAAGUUAGCUAGGAGUGGUGGCGCACACUUGUAAUCCCAGCUACUCAGGAAGCUGAGACAUGAGAAUCACUUGAACCUGGGAGGCAGAGUUUGCAGUGAGCUGAGAUUGCACCACUGCACUCCAGCCUGGGUGACAGAGCGAGACUUUGUCUCAAAAAAAAAAAAAAAAAAACUAGGCCACAGAACAGAGGACUGGCUAUGAAUGUUUUAGAUAAAGUAGGAUCUGUUCUAAAGAAGAUCUUUCCUCUGGUUGUCCAACCUCCCCACAGGUCUUCUCUGAAUCUAGCCAGGUUUCUGUAACCCCUAUUUUGACAUUCCUUGUCUUCUUGUCUCCAAAACUAAGAUGUAGGCUCUUCAGAAGCUUUAACUGGAUAAUCAAAGGUGACAAUAGAUAUGCAUAAGAGGUUGAUGCUGUUGUGUGGAUAGACACUGCCUUGGCAAGGAUGUUAGGAAAUAUUCCUUUUGCCCUGUUUACUGCACCAGAAGUUUCAGUAUACUGCAACUUUCAUAAACUCAGCACGGUUUUUGCAUGGUUUUCAUGAAAAUAGCAUGAUUUUUGUGACUACGAUUUAGGAAUUUUAUGUGCUGAAGUUAAGUAAGCAUGAACUCAGAAUCCUAGAGUGAUAAAUUCUACAUCUCAUCCUUUACAAAUUCCCAUUCACCUUCACUCAAGAGAUUCUCUUCCCACAUUAAAAGAAAAAAAAAAUCCACUGCUGACCCAGGGUCAGUAAUCUUUUUUUGUAAAGGGUCAGAUAGUAAAUACUUUAGGCUUUGCAGACCCUACAGUCUCCAUUACAAUGACUGAACUCUGCCACUGUAGUACAAAAGCAGCUGCAGACAACAUACAAAUGCAUGAGCAUGGCCAUGAACCAAUAAAACUUUAUUUGCAAAAGCAGGUGGUGGGCCGGAUUUGGCCGACAGGCAGUAAGCAGAUUCCUGACCCCUGAUCUGGUGCACCGCAAACCUCACCUUCUGCUGGAGCUCCUGGAUGGUGCAG